This 74-nucleotide transfer RNA is filed under the name Streptococcus pyogenes. RNAcentral describes it as "tRNA-Gln". It matches the Rfam family "tRNA". From Rfam's summary of the family: Transfer RNA (tRNA) molecules are approximately 80 nucleotides in length. Lineage: Bacteria; Bacillati; Bacillota; Bacilli; Lactobacillales; Streptococcaceae. RNAcentral also lists the same sequence under 1 other name. The record is from RNAcentral.
UGCCCUAUGGUAUAAUGGUAGCACAACAGGUUUUGGUCUUGUUAGCGAAGGUUCGAUUCCUUCUGGGGCGACAA